AGGCCACGGCUUGAGCGCCCGUGCGGCUCCGACAGCGGUGUUGUACUGCCACCUAGCGGCCGAGCUGGAAAACGAUGCGUCGCCCGGCGUUAAGUACGGGGUUUGAGUCAAGCUGGUUGGCUCGUCAUCGAGUCCGUCGGUCAAGCGGAGCCGUCGGGGUGGCACUGGCUUUGUUCUUCAAGUGUUCCUUGGAUUGGACCUUGCCGGAAAGAGGAUAGGACUGCCGUUUGGGAAUAUCUUUACAGGAUGCAGCUUCU
This 257-nucleotide long non-coding RNA is filed under the name Numida meleagris (helmeted guineafowl). RNAcentral's name for it is "lncRNA (ENSNMEG00000021923.1)". Lineage: Eukaryota; Metazoa; Chordata; Aves; Galliformes; Numididae. The record is from RNAcentral.